Molecule: small RNA, 121 nt
Filed under: Pseudoalteromonas rubra
Lineage: Bacteria; Pseudomonadati; Pseudomonadota; Gammaproteobacteria; Alteromonadales; Pseudoalteromonadaceae
Description: t44 RNA
Rfam family: t44 RNA
About the family: This family consists of a number of bacterial RNA genes of between 135 and 170 bases in length. The t44 gene is found between the map and rpsB genes in all species in the full alignment apart from Shigella flexneri.
Source: Rfam by way of RNAcentral
CGAAAUUUAAUUUUAACACACACACAUAUCGACACAUACACUUGGGUGCAAGCUCGGAACAAAUUAUCGGGUAACCGAAUUUUCGAACUUGUUGGUGUUAUGGGAUAUGUGGAGGCCUAAC